Molecule: ribosomal RNA, 562 nt
Filed under: Halorubrum sodomense
Lineage: Archaea; Methanobacteriati; Methanobacteriota; Halobacteria; Halobacteriales; Haloferacaceae
Description: bacterial SSU rRNA
Rfam family: Archaeal small subunit ribosomal RNA
Source: RNAcentral
CCAGAAUAAGGGAUGGGCAAGACCGGUGCCAGCCGCCGCGGUAAUACCGGCAGCCCAAGUGAUGGCCGAUCUUAUUGGGCCUAAAGCGUCCGUAGCUGGCCGCGCAAGUCCAUCGGGAAAAUCCACCUGCUCAACAGGUGGGCGCCCGGUAGAAACUGCGUGGCUUGGGACCGGAAGGCGCGACGGGUACGUCCGGGGUAGGAGUGAAAUCCCGUAAUCCUGGACGGACCGCCGAUGGCGAAAGCACGUCGCGAGAACGGAUCCGACAGUGAGGGACGAAAGCCAGGGUCUCGAACCGGAUUAGAUACCCGGGUAGUCCUGGCCGUAAACAAUGUCUGCUAGGUGUGGCUCCCACUACGAGUGGGUGCUGUGCCGUAGGGAAGCCGCUAAGCAGACCGCCUGGGAAGUACGUCCGCAAGGAUGAAACUUAAAGGAAUUGGCGGGGGAGCACUACAACCGGAGGAGCCUGCGGUUUAAUUGGACUCAACGCCGGACAUCUCACCAGCAUCGACUGUAAUAAUGACGAUCAGGUUGAUGACCUUAUCCGAGCUUCAGAGAGGAG